This is a long non-coding RNA of Gambusia affinis (western mosquitofish), 1316 nucleotides long. RefSeq lists it as uncharacterized. NCBI's taxonomy places the organism in Eukaryota, Metazoa, Chordata, Actinopteri, Cyprinodontiformes, Poeciliidae. The transcript has 2 exons. The record is from RefSeq and is a predicted model, not a curated record.
AAAAGUGAAUCCUGGAAACUGAUAGGAACUAUUCAAUAAUCAAUGAUUGAUGCUUCAACACUUUGAUCAGAACCUGGAAUGAUUUUACUGACUAAAAUCCUCCAACAGAACACGACCCAGUACCAGGUUCUGGUUCUGGUUCUGAGGUCAGCAGGUCUUUAUUGAUGCAGCAGCUUGUUGGCUUUAAUAUUCAUGAGAAUCUUUAACUGGUUCUGUUGGACUGGUUAACCUGCAUCCUGUUGGUUCAGCUCAUCUUUUAUUCUUUGUUCAGAUUGAUGUUCUGCAGUUUGUCAAAGAUCAGCUGUGAUUAUUUGGCUUCAGCUCUGAAGUCCAGCAGCCUCCAUCUGAAAGAACUGGACCUGAGAGGAAACGACCUGAAGGAUUCAGAUGUUCACCAGCUGGAGGAUCUUGCAGAGAAUGUACAGUUGGACUAAUCACUGUAAAGUAGAGAAUGGUCUCUGUGUCCUGCUGAUCCUCAGAGGUUGAAGCUGCAGCAGUUUGAGUCUAAAGAGACUUUGACUGGACCAUGAUGAUGACCUCUGACCUCCAAGAUUUUCCUCCUGUUUAUUUUCUCAUGUCUGUCAUUUAGUGUCUGAUAUUGUUUGUCUCUUUGGAUCAAUAAAGAUCCAAUUCAAACUGGGAUCCAUUUAGAGGCUUGAUGGAGUUUUGAUCUGAACUGGAUUCAACUGGAAAGUUGAUCUUUUUUCUCUCUGGUUCGUUUUCAUCCUGGAACCAGAACUGGUCUGAGAAUGGAAACAUGGGAAUCAUUUCCAGUUCAGCUUUGAAGCCAUGAAAGAAACUUCAACCCUCUUUUCUCUGCUGCUUCUUCCUUCUGUUGACAUGAAAAUGUUCCUCAAAGCUCCUCAGAGAAAAAGAUGCUUUACUGGAAACUGUAGAGAAACUUCAGCUUCCAUCAUAGAAACCAGUUGAACCAGUUUAGAACUGGAUGUCCCACAGAAACUCUGAUCUUAGAGCAGUUUUCAGGACCUUAAAAAAAGAUUUUAUAUAUUUUUAUAUUUUUAUGUUCAUUCUAAAAACUAAAUAAUGGAGUUUUGCAUCAUCAUCAUUGAUUCUCAGUUUGUUUUGGUUUUUACUUUUUUAACUCCAUAUUUCAUGUUUUACUUUGAGUUUUCUGGAGAACUUUAGGACUCGAUGUGUCACUUCAGGCUCUUUACUGUGAUUUUAUUGAUUUUUAUUCAAAACUCAGAGAAUCACUAGAAUAAUGUGCUGAUCGGUUCAUGUUUGAUUUUUAUAAUUCUUCUAAUGUAAUGUGGGUUGCUGGAUGUUUAAUGACCAAAUAAAGUUUUUAAAACAUC